This 267-nucleotide long non-coding RNA is filed under the name Manihot esculenta (cassava). Its description in RNAcentral is "long non-coding RNA (MESC_LNC011365)". The record is from RNAcentral. Lineage: Eukaryota; Viridiplantae; Streptophyta; Magnoliopsida; Malpighiales; Euphorbiaceae.
GACUUCCCUUACUUAUGCCUUCGGGGGCCUAAGGCACACCCGAAACGCAUGCAUGUUCGGCGGUCGAACUUUGAGUUUCGGCGGCCGAACCUGAGUUUUCCUCCAAGGUUGUUUUCAUGCACAAACACAUUUCCUUUCAACUUAAAAACAUCAAAUACAUUAAAACAUUUCAUGAAAACAUGGUUUUACCCUUCUAGAGGUCUCCGACAUCCGAAGUUCCACCGGACGGUAGGAAUUCCGAUACCGGAGUCUAGCCGGGUAUUACAU